This is a non-coding RNA of Solanum lycopersicum (tomato), 233 nucleotides long. The record is from RefSeq and is marked provisional. NCBI's taxonomy places the organism in Eukaryota, Viridiplantae, Streptophyta, Magnoliopsida, Solanales, Solanaceae.
AUGGGUUUCAAUUAUAGCUACAGAUCUUCCCAUAGAUCUACUCGAUUUAUUUUUCAGUAGACGUUGUGAAUAAUUGAUAAAUACAGGUAUACAGAGGUCUUAAUAUAGUCAGAACCUAGAAAUAUGUGUAACUAGAUUCAGACCUUUGUACACUUGUAUUCUGUUGCUAUUCACAAUCUCUGCUGAAAAAUGAUUGACUAGAUCUACGAAUAAUCUAGAUUAUUAAUGCCCGU